Molecule: ribosomal RNA, 324 nt
Filed under: uncultured bacterium
Lineage: Bacteria
Description: bacterial SSU rRNA
Rfam family: Bacterial small subunit ribosomal RNA
Source: RNAcentral
GAUGAACGCUAGCUACAGGCUUAACACAUGCAAGUCGAGGGGCAGCGCAGUGUAGCAAUACAUGGGCGGCGACCGGCGCACGGGUGCGUAACGCGUAUCCAACCUUCCCGUUACUCAGGGAUAGCCUUCCGAAAGGGGAGAUUAAUACCUGAUGGUGUUCAAAUUCCGCAUGUAUUUGAACUAAAGAUUUAUCGGUAACGGAUGGGGAUGCGUGACAUUAGGUAGAUGGCGGGGUAACGGCCCACCAUGCCUACGAUGUCUAGGGGUUCUGAGAGGAAGGUCCCCCACACUGGAACUGAGACACGGGUCCAGACUCCUACGGGA